Molecule: long non-coding RNA, 781 nt
Filed under: Vulpes vulpes (red fox)
Lineage: Eukaryota; Metazoa; Chordata; Mammalia; Carnivora; Canidae
Description: lncRNA (ENSVVUG00000003777.1)
Source: RNAcentral
GGUGGAGAGGUGGUGAAUUUUCUAUGCGGUGGUGUAUUCUAUAGGUUUUUCCUUGUGAGCUUUGGAAAUCCAUUGAUUCUUGCCUUAAUUUCCUUUUUGUACGAUUUAUCAAAGAAUGGAGCUGGGACAACAGGAGGACAAACAUUUCUCUCCAUGCACCGGUGCAAUGAAAUCAGGCGAGUGGCAAUCCCAGGACAGGAGCCAUGGAACUCAGAGCCACCGCUCAGCCACUCAGUCGCGUGGUCCCAGCAGCGGCAGACACGGGGAGGCGGGGGACGGCCUGGCCUCCCGGGGCGGGAGUGAGGGGCCAGGUGCCGCAGGAAAGCUACCCUGGGGGCCGGAACCAGGCUGCGCUGGGGGGAAGGCGGCGGUAAGAGCCAGAGCAGAAGAGGAGCACAUGCUGACUGCCUUCCUCGUGCGCACGGAGCUCCUGGUGACCCAGCUGCACCUGGCAAGGGGAAGAGCGCUCCCGAGAUCCUAAGAUAUCUUCCUCCGAUGAAGAACGUCUGCUACUAGAUGUCUGAGUGCUUGCACAUCAGCUUGACUUACCAGUGGAUAUUUUCUUAACAAUUGCAUUAAAAAAAAAAAUCAAAUGGACCAGUGAAGUGUUUUCAAAGGAGUAGUCCUUGAAAAGGGACUCUUUUGGGAAUAGCAUGGCAGGUUAGGAGGAGAUCUCCUGCUCCCUAGCAUUUGGUCCAGUUGACAUAGACUGUUGAGUGCAGGGCUCAAAGCCAAGAUCAGCUAGUAAUAAAAAGAGUUUGUAUUUGUUAUAUGCUUCCCA